AGAGUUUGAUCAUGGCUCAGAUUGAACGCUGGCGGCAGGCCUAACACAUGCAAGUCGAACGGUAACAGGAAGAAGCUUGCUUCUUUGCUGACGAGUGGCGGACGGGUGAGUAAUGUCUGGGAAACUGCCUGAUGGAGGGGGAUAACUACUGGAAACGGUAGCUAAUACCGCAUAACGUCGCAAGACCAAAGAGGGGGACCUUCGGGCCUCUUGCCAUCGGAUGUGCCCAGAUGGGAUUAGCUUGUUGGUGGGGUAACGGCUCACCAAGGCGACGAUCCCUAGCUGGUCUGAGAGGAUGACCAGCCACACUGGAACUGAGACACGGUCCAGACUCCUACGGGAGGCAGCAGUGGGGAAUAUUGCACAAUGGGCGCAAGCCUGAUGCAGCCAUGCCGCGUGUAUGAAGAAGGCCUUCGGGUUGUAAAGUACUUUCAGCGGGGAGGAAGGGAGUAAAGUUAAUACCUUUGCUCAUUGACGUUACCCGCAGAAGAAGCACCGGCUAACUCCGUGCCAGCAGCCGCGGUAAUACGGAGGGUGCAAGCGUUAAUCGGAAUUACUGGGCGUAAAGCGCACGCAGGCGGUUUGUUAAGUCAGAUGUGAAAUCCCCGGGCUCAACCUGGGAACUGCAUCUGAUACUGGCAAGCUUGAGUCUCGUAGAGGGGGGUAGAAUUCCAGGUGUAGCGGUGAAAUGCGUAGAGAUCUGGAGGAAUACCGGUGGCGAAGGCGGCCCCCUGGACGAAGACUGACGCUCAGGUGCGAAAGCGUGGGGAGCAAACAGGAUUAGAUACCCUGGUAGUCCACGCCGUAAACGAUGUCGACUUGGAGGUUGUGCCCUUGAGGCGUGGCUUCCGGAGCUAACGCGUUAAGUCGACCGCCUGGGGAGUACGGCCGCAAGGUUAAAACUCAAAUGAAUUGACGGGGGCCCGCACAAGCGGUGGAGCAUGUGGUUUAAUUCGAUGCAACGCGAAGAACCUUACCUGGUCUUGACAUCCACAGAACUUUCCAGAGAUGGAUUGGUGCCUUCGGGAACUGUGAGACAGGUGCUGCAUGGCUGUCGUCAGCUCGUGUUGUGAAAUGUUGGGUUAAAGUCCCGCAACGAGCGCAACCCUUAUCCUUUGUUGCCAGCGGUCCGGCCGGGAACUCAAAGGAGACUGCCAGUGAUAAACUGGAGAAAGGUGGGGAUGACGUCAAGUCAUCAUGGCCCUUACGACCAGGGCUACACGCGUGCUACAAUGGCGCAUACAAAGAGAAGCGACCUCGCGAGAGCAAGCGGACCUCAUAAAGUGCGUCGUAGUCCGGAUUGGAGUCUGCAACUCGACUCCAUGAAGUCGGAAUCGCUAGUAAUCGUGGAUCAGAAUGCCACGGUGAAUACGUUCCCGGGCCUUGUACACACCGCCCGUCACACCAUGGGAGUGGGUUGCAAAAGAAGUAGGUAGCUUAACCUUCGGGAGGGCGCUUACCACUUUGUGAUUCAUGACUGGGGUGAAGUCGUAACAAGGUAACCGUAGGGGAACCUGCGGUUGGAUCACCU
Molecule: ribosomal RNA, 1531 nt
Filed under: Escherichia coli EPEC C342-62
Lineage: Bacteria; Pseudomonadati; Pseudomonadota; Gammaproteobacteria; Enterobacterales; Enterobacteriaceae
Description: bacterial SSU rRNA
Rfam family: Bacterial small subunit ribosomal RNA
Source: RNAcentral